GGAUGCGACCAUACCAGUAGUAAAGCAUCGGAUCCCAUCAGAACUUUGAAGUUAAGCGUGCUCGAGCGAGAGUAGUACUAGGAUGCGUGACCUCCUGGGAAGUCCUCGUGUUGCAUUAC
RNAcentral lists this ribosomal RNA (119 nucleotides) under Triticum aestivum (bread wheat). The record is from RNAcentral. RNAcentral also lists the same sequence under 1 other name. Lineage: Eukaryota; Viridiplantae; Streptophyta; Magnoliopsida; Poales; Poaceae.